UUUUAAUGAGCGGCAGCUGCAAACUUUUUCCAAAUUAGUACCAGGUCAAGAAUUCUUAACUUUACUAUAAAUGGAAAAGAUUCCUCUGCUUCCUCAGCUAAUAGUUUAUCACCUUAAAAACACAUCUUAAUAGCAAUAAAAAAAUACCAACAUGCCCAUGUAUCUUUUGUGCCACUUUUUUGAUAAUCUUAAAUACCACUCUUUGCUUACUACAUUUCAUCACUUCUAAGCUCCAACUUUGAUAAAUUGUUAUGGUUUCUCGUUUUGGAGCCCUCCAAGUACUCACUCUUUUCAUAACAUGCUCUUUGGUUGUGCAACACUUUGUUGUUUUUGCAGCAUCAAGGCCACUCAAAAUAUGUGCUCCACCAAAGGACCUCGACGAAAAGAUGGCUAGCGGACAACACACUGCAAGAAAAACGGCUAAUUCCGUCCUGAAUCGUUACAAGAAAUUGGAGGAUGCUUUUAGGCCAACUUCACCGGGGCAUAGCCCCGGAAUAGGCCAUCCUCCUUGACAUAAAAAUUUUGGUUUUGGUUUCAUAGGUAUGUUGGUAAGUGACCAUAAGGUCAUUUGUGUUUUUCCAAGUGAUGGUUUUACAUGGUGUGAUGUAAUUAUGGAGAAACAUGAGCUCUUUUUGGAGCUUGCACUCUGUAUUUAUGUGAGCUUGAGUUGAGACUACUGGAAUAGCUAGAGUUGUCCAACUCUUUUCUUCUCUCUUAAUUUUUGCUUUGGUUUCAUGUAGAUAUAGAUUGAGGAUGAUGGCAGUGCAUGUGGUAGUAAUGAAUUUGUUUUCGAUUCUAGUGAUCAAUAAUUCCACUCCUAUAGUUUUUAUAUAUUAAAUCUUAAUAU
Molecule: long non-coding RNA, 847 nt
Filed under: Daucus carota (carrot)
Lineage: Eukaryota; Viridiplantae; Streptophyta; Magnoliopsida; Apiales; Apiaceae
Description: long non-coding RNA (DCAR_LNC006513)
Source: RNAcentral